GGGCCCACCCUCGCGCCGCCCGCCCGCGCUCAGCCGGUCCUCGGGCGAGGGCGCACCGGGCAGGCGGCGGGCGAGGGCAUGGGCGGCGGCGGCGGCUCCGGAGCCGGAGGUGGGCGCGCGCGGAUGCGGGUCUCGGCGCGGCUCGGCCCGGAGCCUGGCUCUCAAGUGGGAGGACGACAGGGAGGAGGAGAAGGAGAAAAUAGGACGGAAGCCUGGGGCUGCUGGUGGCCAUCUCUUGGGAAGAGCCGACCUGAGUAUGAAGCCAACAGGGAAGAAAGCAGAGGGAUGGGACAGCAAAAUGCUUCUGGCGACAACAUUUGAGCAUCUAGAUCAAGCCGUGCCUGACUUUUUGCUACUUCUCAGUUUUUCGUUUGCAUGAGCUGAUAAUUUUUAAGAAUUAAAGAAAAUUGAUUAUGGUAAUGGUUGCACAACUAUGCACACUAAAACCACUGAAUUGAACAUCUUAAAUGGGCAAAUCAUAUGAGACCCAGGCUGAGCAAGGCUCUAUUUUGGCACAUGCUUCAAAAUCACCAAGGCAAGGAAUAAAGAACGGCUAGAGCGAGACACUAGAAAUUAAAUGAUUUGGCCUGCAAGUGACAAACCUGGAAGAUCAGACUUCCCUGUGCUGGGAAGGACAGGAGAACAUGAUGGCAGUAAGAAGCUCUAAUGACUGUCUUGACAAAUGGUUCCUACAGAAUGGCACUAGCUCUGUGUAUUACAGCCUCUCUCCUCCUCUCUGUUACAGAUAUUGAUUGUUUUGGCCAGCCAUGCAUCCAUUCCCCUUCUGGGAACA
Molecule: long non-coding RNA, 793 nt
Organism: Choloepus didactylus (southern two-toed sloth)
Lineage: Eukaryota; Metazoa; Chordata; Mammalia; Pilosa; Megalonychidae
Exons: 3
Source: RefSeq, a predicted model, not a curated record